RNAcentral lists this long non-coding RNA (1135 nucleotides) under Carassius auratus (goldfish). RNAcentral's name for it is "lncRNA (ENSCARG00000054933.1)". Lineage: Eukaryota; Metazoa; Chordata; Actinopteri; Cypriniformes; Cyprinidae. The record is from RNAcentral.
UAAAAAUAAAGUUUAAAGAAGCUUUGAAACAUUUUAAGUUAAGUGUUUAUUUCCAGCUGUCAGCAUACAGUCAAUUUUAUCUCUAUAGACAUAUAGAUAGCUUCCAUCUCAUCUUUUCUGCUGAUUGACUGUAUUUGCAUGGUUAUGUAAGUUAAACAUUGGUUUCUCAAUUUAAUUUUUUUUUUUUUUUUUUUUUUUUGGCACCCAGGCUGUUCUCAAACCUGACCAGAAUAACCGGUGUUUAUUGGAGUGGCAGCUACAGAGCUGCAGCAGCCGGAUCAGGCUCAAAGCACCUACAGAAAGGCCUCUGAACUAGAGCCAGAGCAACUGAUUGCAUGGCAGGUCAGUCAUGGUCUAUAGUGAAUAGUCCAAAUGUAGUGUUUAUCUAGGGACACAGUUAGUUAACUAAUCAAGCUAAAUUUUAUUGCUCUUUUUUUUUUUUGAGAUACUGAAUUUGUCAUUUGUAAUUAAGUCGUAACCAUCAGAAUUAAAAAAAAAAAAACUCUUUAAAUUUUUCAGUUUGUGUGCAAUAAAUCUAGAAUAUAAGAAAGUUUGCUUUAAAAUUAUUAUUAAUAUUAAUAUUUAAUUUAAUAACUUAAUAUUAUUACAAUAAAAAUAAAGACCUUUUCCAUGAUAUUCUAUUUUUUUUUAGAUGCACCUGUAACUUCACUGACUUUUAUCUAUACAAAAUAAUUUACACAUAUUAUUUUUUAAAGCAGCCAUCAGGCUUUAUAUCUUCAUAUGUGUGAAAUGUUUGCUACUCUACCCAAAGCUGGCCAGAGCGUGGAGCAGGGAAUUCCAGGUGAGGGAGCAUUUGAAAGAACUUUGCAAUUGAUGAUAGAUGUGCCCCGUGAAGCCCACAGGAGCCUUUCACAGGACUACAUUAAAUGUCUUUCCAAGCUUCCUCAUGAGGUGUGGCCAAGCUAAAGGAAGUUUGUGAUGCCACUAUCCAACACACUCCUGCCCUCUAGAGGCCCUCAGUGAGCACUACAUCAGAACUGGUCAGUUUAGGUCAAAUUAAGUCAAUGGAGAAAAAAAAAUACACAUAACCUUUUAUUUUUUAAAUUAAUUGAAAUAGAAAACAACUGUUUUUAUUUGUAAUAAUAUUUGUAAUAAUAUUUCAUAAUAUUAUAGU